GGGCUUAUAGCUCAGUUGGUUAGAGCGCUUCCUUGACAUGGAAGAGGUCAGAGGUUCGAGUCCUCUUAGGCCCACCA
This 77-nucleotide transfer RNA is filed under the name Dehalococcoidales bacterium. RNAcentral describes it as "tRNA-Val". It matches the Rfam family "tRNA". Rfam says of the family: Transfer RNA (tRNA) molecules are approximately 80 nucleotides in length. Their secondary structure includes four short double-helical elements and three loops (D, anti-codon, and T loops). Further hydrogen bonds mediate the characteristic L-shaped molecular structure. tRNAs have two regions of fundamental functional importance: the anti-codon, which is responsible for specific mRNA codon recognition, and the 3' end, to which the tRNAs corresponding amino acid is attached (by aminoacyl-tRNA synthetases). tRNAs cope with the degeneracy of the genetic code in two manners: having more than one tRNA (with a specific anti-codon) for a particular amino acid; and 'wobble' base-pairing, i.e. permitting non-standard base-pairing at the 3rd anti-codon position. The record is from RNAcentral. RNAcentral also lists the same sequence under 2 other names. Lineage: Bacteria; Bacillati; Chloroflexota; Dehalococcoidia; Dehalococcoidales.